UACGGAGGGUGCAAGCGUUGUCCGGAUUUAUUGGGUUUAAAGGGUGCGUAGGCGGCUUAGUAAGUCCGUGGUGAAAGCCAACAGCUCAACUGUUGAACUGCCAUGGAUACUGCUAGGCUUGAGUACAGACGAGGUAGGCGGAAUGGAUAGUGUAGCGGUGAAAUGCAUAGAUACUAUCCAGAACACCGAUUGCGUAGGCAGCUUACUAGGCUGUAACUGACGCUGAGGCACGAAAGCGUGGGGAGCGAACAGG
RNAcentral lists this ribosomal RNA (253 nucleotides) under uncultured bacterium. RNAcentral describes it as "partial 16S ribosomal RNA". It matches the Rfam family "Bacterial small subunit ribosomal RNA", at positions 524 to 776 of the family's 1533-position model. The record is from RNAcentral.